UUGAAUGCAUAACAUUUACAAUAAGAUAGAGUUGACAUGAUAGCAACACAAGUAUGAUCCAAUAGCUAUUAUAGAGACAUGUUUUAAAGGUAGCUAGGACCCCAACAUUCCAGGUUACACAUAGGUUCAAAAGAACAGGAAGCGGGGGAGGGGCGUGAGGUGUUCAAGAUGGCAGCGCCCUGUGGAAUGCAGGGUCUGUGAGAGGGCUGCCCUGCUAGUCAGCAGUUUAGCACUGCAGAGGGGAAGAUUUUAAAAAAAGAAAAAAAAACAGGCCAAAAGGGAAAGUAAGCAUUGUUAAGCAAGCUAUCAGAACAGUACCAAGUCAUGAUAGAGGCAGUGGAUAGAAACAUAGAAUCAAUUUUGGUUGAAAUUAUGAAUAGCAGGGAAAAGACAAGUUGGAGUAGUCAACAGACCUUCAAAAUGUGACCUCUUAAUAAGGCAGAGCAUAAAUGGGGAAAUAGCUAGGGCACAUUUUAAGGUAAUGACAAUUGUCAUAGGAGAUUUUAAUCUACAUACUGAUUGGAUGAACCUAACCGGCAAUAGUAUCACCACAAGAAUUUGUGGAGUGUCAGAUAUUGCUUCUUACAACAGUAUGCUAUGGAACCCAACCAGGAACAGGCCAUUUUAGUUUUGGGCAUGAGUAACAAGGAAGAAUUAAUUAAGAGAUCUUGUGGUAAAAGAUCCCCUAAGGUGACCACAAUGUUAUAGAAUUCCAAAUGCAGUUUCAGGGUGAACACCAUAGGACCAAAACAACUGCUUUCGACGUGAAUAAAGGCAAUUAAUAACGGUGUGAAGAUGGAGUUAACCUAUUUUCCCAGUCCACCUUAACUGAGAGAGAGGUCAAUAGAUGAACAGAAGCAGAUAUUCAAAAUAGCUGGUCAGUUACACUGAGCAAGAAUUUAUCCCAAUUGGAAAGAUUGAUCCCACAAGAAAAAAAAUCUAUGGUUAGCAAAGGAGAUCAAGCAUGUUAAAUUGAAAACUAGGGUAUACAAAGUGGCAGAGGCUGGUGGUAGGCAAGAGGACCAGGGAGUUUAGAAUCCAGCCAUGAAAGACUAAAAAGCUCAUGACAGAAAAUUGAUUUUGAAAUCAAAUGCGUAAUAUCAAAACAGCAAGAUUUUAUGGAUAUACAAAUAGGAAGGUGGUGAGACUUAUAGAGAACAAGGCUGGCAAGUAAAUAACAGGAGACAAAGAAAUGGCAGAUAUGUUAAAUCUUCUGUUUUUGCAUCAGUCUUCACUAUGGAGGAUGCUGCAAAUAUUUGCAAAAUAACAGAUGGGCCAAUUUCAAAUGGAGGUACUUGUAAAAAUUCAAGUCACAAGGGUGAAGUAUUAGAGAAAUUCAGGGCUAAGGCAAACAUAUCAGUAGGACCCAAUGGCCCACACCCAGGGUUUUAAGAUUUUUAAAAAAUCAGCCUCCAAGUCUUCAUUACAAGUGAAUACUCUCACGUUUCACCAUGUUACACUCUGCCACCUUUUUGUUCACACUCAGUAAUAUCCCUUUACCAUCUCCAGAUUUUCCUAACAGAUAAUUUGUCAUACUCAUAGCAACAAACAUGAAUAUAUUACAUUUAGAAUAUUCAUUCAUGUAAUUAGAAUGGACUGCAAACACAAUCACAUCUGGAAUUACUACAUCAAGAACCUACACGACAAUGACUUUUGUACAUAAACAUUUCAAAUCCUGGAAAGUUUUUUUUUUGUUGCUCUUUGCUCAAUAUAUGGAAAGAGGAACGAGGCGAAAACAAACACAAAGGAAGGCUAAUAAAGUUGGGCCCAUGCUUCUCAAAAAAGUAAUAUUUAAUUUGCAAAAUAAAGUGAAGUGAAAGUUUACUACCAGUUUACAAAAGAUAAAGUAGCCUCAUAUUAAAAAUUAGAAAAUAAGUAUAUUGCCUUUCUGCCCAACUUAUCCAUAAGGCUAAUGCAGAAAACCACCUUAUUCCAAAAGGCUAUAGGUUGUACACAAGAGAAAUUUUCUAUGAAAGUGUCAAAGCAAAUCACUAUUUUUGGAACUAUCAUUAGCAAAACACCUUUGUUAUUAAAAAAAAGGCAAUUAAGUGAUGAUCCAAAAGAAUAAUCCUGUUGCAUUUACUAGCCUACCAUUUAAAACAUUUGUUUCUUCCAGGUUGGCUCUUAGGGAGGAUUUUAGGACAGAUUUAAGCUAAUUCACAGUUUACAGCAGAAUCACAAAAUUACUGUUUUGCUUGUUAAACUCCAUUGAUGCCAUUAUUUUUAACUCUGUGGGAUAAACUGCAUUAAGUGUCCUUAAGGUCCCUCAGAACAGAAUCUUGAAUCAAUAGAAAUGGGCUCCAAGCAUGACAGCUAAAGAAUUGUCAACAGGUGUAGAAUGGCCUAACAAUAUUACUCGUAUAAACUUCUAGCUGUGGACCAACCACUCGACCCAAACGAUGAUUUUUCUAGAAAAUAAACAGGCAGAUGAUUAAAAAUCUGUGCAAUGGCCGAAACCAUAGACAGGAUUCCAGCAUCUACAGUCUCUAGUGUUUCCACAGGAAUGAGCGAUCCAGUAACUUGAGUGCGCUUCGGGAUUUACACUGUCGCCUCUCUGACUUCCUCCCACGGUUCUGCUCCACACCCCAACACCUCAAUUGCUUCCUCCGUCAACAAGUGACAGCCCGGGGACAUAACGCCGUCUGGUUUUGCGGGGCGGGAACAAAACUCGCCCGCUUCAACAGUAAAUUCAGCCGCCGAAAGCCGGAUGCAGUAAUGGCGGAGGCACGUGUACAAUAGAGAGAAAACGAGGCGUGAGCCGGACUGAACACCCGUCGGGGGAAACAAAAAACAAGUACCGAGCGGCAGGCAUUUAGCGCCGCCCUGAGCUGGCUGACGUCAUUCUACGCAACCUGACUGUUGACGUAAAAAGCGUAAGGAGGGGGGAAAAAAUGCCGUGUCGGAUGCGUCACUGCGAGUGAGGGAGGGAAGUGAGGUGGCGUGGCGUAGCAUAGCCCGAGGGCUUUUCUCACCGCCCCGGCUACAAUACUUCAGACGUGGUUCAGUUGGUAGUACUUUCCCUCUAAGUCAAAAGGUUGAUGAUUCACCUUGAGUAUCCGUGCUGAAGCGUUGUGUUUUGUGGAAAGGUGUUGGGAAUAAAAGAGAAGAGCUGUUAUAACAUGGAAACCAGGAGAAAUGAUACAAGAGCUGGUGGUUCUGGCUGAAAAAGAUGAUAAAGGCAAAGGAACAGCAAAAAAUAUGGCUGGUGGCAAGUAAAAAUUUCCAGCAUCUGCAGUGUUUGAUUUUCAAUAGCAUCACCUUUUGACCAUCAGGGUGGAGGUACAGGAGCCUGAAGACCCACACUCAAUGAUUUAGGAACAGUUUCUUCCCCUCUGCCAUCAGAUUUCUGAAUGGUCCAUGAACACUACUUCAUUAUUCCUUUUUUUGCACUAUUUACUUCUGUGAUUUUGUUUUUGCACUGUUCUGCUACUGCGACACAACAAAUUUCACAGCAUACAAGUCAGUGAUAAUAAACCUGAUUCUGAUAUGGAAGACAUGAGAGCCAAGUUGAGAGUGAUUGCUCUGGCCACAUAUGGCAUUAAGGAGCCCUGGGACAACUUGCCAUUUGGGCAUCAAGGGCAAAACACAUCAAAUGAUUGGACUGAUACCUCUGACAAGGCAAGAUGGUUGUGUUUGUUGGAGGUGAAUUAUCCGUGUGCCAUGGACAAAAGUGAGGGAGAAACGAUCACUUGGAAAAAAAGUACCGGGUGAAUUAACAAGUCAAGAAGCUGAUGUCCCCUGGACCUGACAGCCAGUAUCCUAGGGUGUUAAAUGAAGUGGCAGCCUAGAAUGUGGAUACAUGUCCUCUUCCAAAAUUCCCUAAAUUCCACAAUAGUCACAGCAGAUUGGAAAGCCACAAAGGGAAUGCCCUUCAAGAAAGGAGGCUGACAGAAAUCGGGAAACCAUAGGCCAGUUGCCCUGAAAUUGUCAUUAGCAAAAAAGAUGAAAUCCAUCAUUAAUAAAGUUGUACCGGUACUAUUAGAAAAUCAUAAAACCAUAAUUGAUGGAUGUUUCUGUGACUAUGUGUUUUCAGUGGGAUUCCACAGAGCUCAGCACUCUCACUUUCUGUUCAUAUAUUAAUGAUUUAGAUUUAAAGACAGUGGGCAUAUAGAGA
Long non-coding RNA from Pristis pectinata (smalltooth sawfish), 4114 nucleotides. RefSeq lists it as uncharacterized. The record is from RefSeq and is a predicted model, not a curated record. NCBI's taxonomy places the organism in Eukaryota, Metazoa, Chordata, Chondrichthyes, Rhinopristiformes, Pristidae. The transcript has 4 exons.